GGAGGGGUGCCGGAGUGGCCGAUCGGAACCGCCUUGAAAGCGGUCGUAGGGAGACCUACCGCGGGUUCGAAUCCCGCCCCUCUGCU
Molecule: transfer RNA, 86 nt
Filed under: Nocardioidaceae bacterium
Lineage: Bacteria; Bacillati; Actinomycetota; Actinomycetes; Propionibacteriales; Nocardioidaceae
Description: tRNA-Ser
Rfam family: tRNA
About the family: Transfer RNA (tRNA) molecules are approximately 80 nucleotides in length. Their secondary structure includes four short double-helical elements and three loops (D, anti-codon, and T loops). Further hydrogen bonds mediate the characteristic L-shaped molecular structure. tRNAs have two regions of fundamental functional importance: the anti-codon, which is responsible for specific mRNA codon recognition, and the 3' end, to which the tRNAs corresponding amino acid is attached (by aminoacyl-tRNA synthetases). tRNAs cope with the degeneracy of the genetic code in two manners: having more than one tRNA (with a specific anti-codon) for a particular amino acid; and 'wobble' base-pairing, i.e. permitting non-standard base-pairing at the 3rd anti-codon position.
Source: RNAcentral